RNAcentral lists this ribosomal RNA (224 nucleotides) under uncultured bacterium. Its description in RNAcentral is "partial 16S ribosomal RNA". It matches the Rfam family "Bacterial small subunit ribosomal RNA", at positions 126 to 334 of the family's 1533-position model. The record is from RNAcentral.
CGCCCUUCCAGAGGGGGACAACAGUUGGAAACGACUGCUAAUACCGCAUACGAUCUAACCUCGGCAUCGAGGAUAGAUGAAAGGUGGCCUCUACAUGUAAGCUAUCACUGAAGGAGGGGAUUGCGUCUGAUUAGCUAGUUGGAGGGGUAACGGCCCACCAAGGCGAUGAUCAGUAGCCGGUCUGAGAGGAUGAACGGCCACAUUGGGACUGAGACACGGCCCAG